CAAAAGCUGAUAAGGUCCGAAAAUGGGCCCGGAUUCGAUUGUCCCUUAGUGCCAUCGAGAGUACAAUGAGUUUACGCAUUAAGGAGAGAAAGAAUAUGAAAGAUGAGCAGAUAGGUCGAAAUCAUCCUCCAUCCAUAGAAGAGGACUUUGAGGAAGUGCUCUCUUUUAAUUUGAUAUCAGAUGACAGUGGGAAUGAAUCCUUGGAAGCAAGUGCUACUGCUAAUGGGAUCUCACCAGAACCUUUCUUUCCUUGGAAAGAAGAACUAGUGUGCCUUGUUCGUGGGGGACUGCCAAAGGCUCUCAGGGGAGAGGUAUGGCAAGCAUUUGUUGGUGCAAGAAAACGCCAGAUGGAGAGAUAUUACUAGAAUUUGAUAGCUUCAGAAACUAAUGCUGGUGAGGGCAAGGAUUAUGGUAGCUCUUUAUCAGUCAGUGGCAGUAAGCAGCCCAACGCAGAUCAUGCCAUACCUGAGAAAUGGAGAAGGCGGAUUGAGAAGGUCAUUAGAUGCAUGGGCCUUGGACUUUAUCGUUCAAUCUUUUUGAUUCGAUUUGCCUCGAACAUUCCCAGGCCAUCCUGCUCUAGACGAGGUUGGUAGAGAUUCCUUAAGCCGUUUGCUUUUAGCGUAUGCUCAACAUAACCCCUCUGUUGGGUAUUGUCAGCAGGCAAGCCCAGACCAUUGGAAGAGCCACAUUUUGGAGCAGCUGCUGUCAUUUUCUUCAAUCACAACUCCUCAUGGCUUAGUGG
Vitis riparia (riverbank grape) is the source of this 742-nucleotide long non-coding RNA. RefSeq lists it as uncharacterized. The record is from RefSeq and is a predicted model, not a curated record. The transcript is spliced from 4 exons. Lineage: Eukaryota; Viridiplantae; Streptophyta; Magnoliopsida; Vitales; Vitaceae.